This 2647-nucleotide unclassified non-coding RNA is filed under the name Hevea brasiliensis (rubber tree). The record is from RNAcentral. Lineage: Eukaryota; Viridiplantae; Streptophyta; Magnoliopsida; Malpighiales; Euphorbiaceae.
ACCCCACACAGCCCAAAGCAUCCAUGGUUUACUCAAGUUGAAGAUAAUUUCAAUUCAAAACCAGUGAGGCAGAGAAUAGUAAUUUGCACACAAGCUUCAUGAUUGCAUUAAUUAACAUUCAAGAACAGUGAAUCCAUAUAUAAACCCAACUGAAUAUUAUUUAAUACGAGAACAGAGGAAGUUCCUAUAGCAUUCUAAGGGCACUUGGUUUUGUUGCCAUGAGUAGUCAUGUCAGUGUAACAUUUCCCACAGACUUCUCUGUUUCCAGAGGUGCCUGGAGGCACGCACUUGCACCUAAAGCAACAGGUGCCACAUGCUCUUGUGCAUACAUUAGGCCUCGAAUGCAAACUGCACCUCACCUUGCACAACCCUCCACAAUCCAAGAAUGGCAAGAGCCUUCUGUUAGCUCCUUUCACCAGCUGGGUGCUUUGCUCUUCAAUCUCGACGUCAGAUGAAACCUGUGCUAUGCAGAAAAGAAAGAUUGCCACCAAAAGAAGGGAGCGUAAAGCCAUUUGGAAGCAGCUACAGGACCACCAGUCUGAAGGCGUUUGAAAUGUGAUCUAAAUGGGGUUGUUAAGAAAGUGCUAGGGGUACUGAGUCCACCGAGUCUGAGCGUAGCACUUUAUUUAUAGGCGGUUCUUGGUGGCUUAUUCUCAAUUACCAACUCGCCCACAGGCUUUGUUUUUAUUCUGGUUGCCAUUGUAUCUGUACCUUUUGUUAAGUUAUAUAAUAUUUUUUGGCCAAGGGAACAGAGUCUUAAAAUUUAAUGUUUAAUUUUCCCUCCACAUCUCUAAUUUAUCACAUCAACAGGUUGAAAAUUCGAUUUUAUUUGCUAAAUACAAGGGUACAGAUAACUUCCACGUUCCUGUUAGAGAGUAUAACUAAAAUUUUAACAUAAUAUGUUGUGAAUAAUUUGCUUUAGACCAUUUAAGUGUUAUUAUUAUUUUUUUACGUAGAUAAGCACACAAACAUCUUCAUAACGAAAAUAGAUAUCUGUUAAAAUUAUGACAAUUUUAAUAAAAUUUGUCUCCAUAAAAAUCACUCACAUCCUUUUUAUAAUUAAUGUGGGACUCGAAAUACCGACCAUUUAAGUUAAAAAAAUGUGGGCUGGAGCUUAAAAAUUGGGAAAAUAAAAUUUGAAAACCUGAUUUAAAGAAUUCAACUGUAAAGGUACAGGCGUCUUUAGAAUUCUGCAUGUUCCCCUAAAAUAGUUAUCCUUUAACGGCUUUAACAGCGAGAAAUUGGUGUACAAAACAAAGCUGAUCCUGUAUUCAGUGAAAGCAUAUGCAGGUACGCCAAUGGGAAAAGCCUGAGGACCUCCUGGGUGAAUCGCAUAAGAAGUUGAUUAUAAUAGCAAUAAGGUGUUGAUGGUAUUACAUGAUUUUUUAUAAUACAGUUUCGGAAAAGUAAGAUAUAGCAUUAAAUUAAUGGAACAUUAAUACAAGGCAGACAUGACCAUGCAUACUGUCACCUUAUUAUGCACCUUUCGCACUCUUUCGAGUCUUGACAACAGAAAUAGGCCGAAGAGAAGCGACCUAAAGUGUUAUUUUCAUUAUUGUUAACAUGUAAAAUCUCAUAUUCUUACGGCAAAAUCACAGUUUAAGGAAUGAGGAAAUGGAAAGUGUACGGAGAAAUAGAAAAGGCCAAAACUAGCCAUCUCUUCUCUAUUUCUGGAUUAUCAGGGUCUUGGAUAUAGAAAAGAAAAAAAAAAGUGAUUCGGUAAAUGGCAAAGCAGCACAGCUGUAUCCCACAACCCAGUACUACUAGUAGCAGUAAUAAUAACAAAAAUUUGUCGCCAUUUUCGAAAGCACUGAACACCGUUUCAAGCAUGAAACGAGCUCCUUUUAAUCGUGAAGAGAAGAGGAAGACAAAAACAGGGUGCUGGCCUAGAAUGUUCACCGACAGUGAGCAGAUGACAGCUAAAGCACAGUUGGCUAAAAUGAUAUAAUAAGAGAGAGAGAUGAAGAGAUACGUCACAGUCAAGCCCUCUUUUCGUCGCUACUCACCGGUAAACGAGAAAGAGAUUGGGAUUACAUUCGCAUUUCGCCUUCGUCCACUUGCUUAAUUCAAGCUCACUCCCUUCCAUGCAUACACAGACUACCGCUUAACUUCUUGUUUAAUUGCAAUAAAGCUUCAAAUACGACUCUCCAUUUUUUUCUUGUAGACGGCCAAUACGCCACUUAAAAUUUAUCAGUUUCACUAACAAAUUGUAAUGGCCCUCCUCCUUCCUCCCCUCGGGCAUGACUUUAGAUUAAGCAUCAAACUAGGAAGUCUCAAAUUUGCAUCUAUUUCCAAGAGACGAGCCAGCAAUCCAAGUAAUUACAUGACUCAGCCACUGCAGAAGAUACCCAAGACUCUGACAUCAGCACGCAUUGAGUAGAAUGCCACCUAACGUUGAAUACCUGACAGGCUCUCUAUUUCAUACCCAUCAUUAAAUAUAUCCACUUGCAACCUGGACAAUGGCAAUUGCCUUCCCUCAAUAUAAUCUUCAAAUUUUCAUUUCACCCCAACAAUUUCUCUUCAUUAGUAAAAAUACUCAUAAUUAAAUUCCGCCUAAGUAGUUUGCGCUUAGUCGGUCCCAAGCCCGGAUAAAGGAAGAGGGUUGCGGUAGGUGACAACCAAUGUAAAAAUUUCGUCACACCCUAUG